CGUUACCGAGCUGCUGCCGGGCGGCCAUGGCGCCGUCGAAAUAGUGCAGUUUCAGCUGUGGAAAAUCAACUCUUGAGAGUCUACCGAAGAGAAGGGAGCAAAGGCAUAACACUUGUUUACCAAGUCUAAGGAGUGAUGUCUCACUGAAGUUUUUCUGGUGUUUUAAACCAUUGUAGAAGUUCAUCGUGAGCCAAGAAAGCAGUAGCAUCAUACUGGAAAUCAUGGAAAGAGGCAUCGUCUGCUGUGGAGUGUGGGGGAUUUGCAGCAAGGAGCAAAGCAGAUCAUCAUGGAGUUCUUCUCGGCACACAAGGAUGAUUGCAAAGUGUCCGUUGAUCUGGAAAUCAGUGAAGCUUGGCAUGAGAACCUGCAGCAGAUUAAAAAGGAAGGGAUGCAUUUUAUAUCGCAAUCCAUCCUCAGCCAUCUUUGGUCAACAGAGUCCCUGAGAUGCUUGUCUAGGGAAGAGAGAGACUCGGAAGGCAGUGAGGAAAAAGCUGAGCAGAAGACGAGCCCAUGUUGGCUUUGAAGGAUUUAGGCACUGGUCAGCAAGCAGCACCACUUGUUCCAUCAAAACUUCCUGCUCACCUUUCUGCCUGAUAUCCAGGAGUCAGCUUACAGGGAAAGGCCAAUGCUGUGACCAUGUAUUCAUUUACAGCUCACUGGGGGACUCAGGAAACCUUGUCAGAUUAAUAACAGGGUCAUGGGAGACCUGACAGCCAGCUCAGACAGUGCUGCAAUUUUGCAGCAUGCCCCAAAAAAAUGGCAGCUUGCCAACGACAGCAUGAGGAGUCUCUCCUGGAAAGACAGCCAUAGGUGGUUGUUUAUUUGUAUCGCACUGGAGCUGACUGUGAUCUGGACCCCGGAGAGCCAGGAUAUGGAAUAAAGGGCGUACUGCCACAAGACCCUGUGAUCUGAUAGAAAACACGAGGAGGAGGAUGGAAAAGGACAUGGAGCUGGACGUGUCGCAUGUCCGGCAUCACGCAGCACUCAGUGCCCCAGCCAACAAAACCUUGGAGCAGUCUCUAACUGGCAGAUGUUUUUAUUCUAAUAGAUGUUCUUAGUUGCAGCAAAUCAUCCAUUUUCAGAUUGGGCUGAUUUCACACAUGGUCUAGUUUUAACAAAAAACGGGAAGAAGGAGAGAGAAUGAAACAUUUUUUCAUAAAUCACCUUUUUUUUUUUCAUCCCAAGAAACCGGACCAGGUCAAUCUAUUUUGGCCUUAGAAACACGGAUAACAUCUUAAUGAAGAAUUUUAGAGAAAAAAUGAAAAUGAGUGUGGUUUUUUGUGUGCGCACGCUCAAAACUCAAUGGCUUCGGAUUCCCCAGGAAUUUCUUGUGCUUUCUGAAAUGCUGCUAUCCUGUAUGCCCUGCAUUCAUAAUCAGCUUUGGCUCCUUCUUUCUCGUCUGACCUUCCUUACUCUGAGUCUCCAAUCACAACAGGACAAAUUCUGGCUUUUCAAAAUCAUCUCUCUGAAGUGUUAUAGCUAGGAAUGACUGAAAAAGGAAAUUUCUUUCCACAGAAAACAUCAUUGAACCAACCCUUUUUUUCUUCUUCACCUAAAUCAAACCCAUUUUUUUCAGUUUUUCUUUAAAAGCAAGCUUUUGAAAAUGAUCCAGGAGUUGUUAAAAUUAACAUUUCCACAUUCAAGAAUAAACAAUAGCAUUUUCCAGAGAAUAUUUCUGAGGAAAAGAGGAUUUACUCAUGCAACUACUAUUCCUUUAACUGGAGUCUCCAGGAAAGCUUUUGAGGAAGCUUUGUACAGCUUGGGAAACGCAGGUUCUUCUUCCUGCACAAAAAUCCUGUGCAAAUUGAGUGAUGGGCGUUUGUGUUUCACUGCACACACAGCAGGGACAACAAUAUCGACACUCGCAGUGGGGCUGAAACCUGUUGAGGAAAAGUGCUGGGCAGGACUAAUUGUGGGCAGGACUAAUUGUAGGCACAGACUCUGCCCGUGUUGAUGUGGCAAAUCCAUUGGCAAAAGGCAGGGAGCCUUCAGGACGGGGAUCACGAGUACCAACCUCAUUAGGCAGAGCCAAGCCAGGUACUAAUUACCUCGGAGCUGCAGAGCUGUGGUGCUCAGGGUUCCUGCCAGCAUACAAGCUGUGUCAUGUCUUGCCUGUUGGUUCCUGCAGCUCAGCAGCACGGAAGAAAGCUGGGUCCGACUCCUCCGGGGUGAGAGCAGGUUUAGUCCAGGCUUUGCAAUGGUGCACCUCUCCUCCACACUGUUUUUUGGCCAUUUCCGUACAGUUUGGGUUUUUGGAGCUGUGACUGUGCCCAUCUCUGCUCCGUGGUUGUUCUAGAGCCACUGGGGCUUUGACUGAGUCAUGCUUUGAUUGUGAGGAGAGUCAGCAGGGGAAGCAUAUCUUUUAAAGGUUAUUUAUGCUGUGUUUUUCAAUGUGAAUUAAUCUUUGCUCUUCCAGAACCUGAUCUCCACAGGGAUUUUAACCCUUUGUCUACCCACGGGCUGUUACAGAUCUAAUUUUGUGGGCACAGGCACUCAAAAUUCCAAAGGCGAGCAGGAACAAGAGUGGACAGCCAGGCUCUCAGGAAGCAGCCAUUAUCAUAAAGUUGUAUUUUGACGUGGAUCAGCUCACAGGAAGCAUACAUGUCAGCCCUCAGUCACGUUCAGAGAGCAGCAGUAGUCAUUUGGCAGAUCUGGGCUUAGCAAUCACCGCAUUCCCCAGGCACUUGGCUCUGGACGAUCGGGAGGGCUUUCUGCAUCAGUCAUUGUCGGCUGGGAGAUGGACUCCCGCGAGAUCCAGUGCUGCACCGUAGGAGCAGACAGUCAAAUGAUGCCAAACAGGCAGGGCUCCUUUCCUGGGCUAAAUUACCAGAUGCAUGGGAAUGAACAUUUUGGCCCUGGAUGAGUUUGGUGGUGAAAAUAAUCUGGGACUCAAGCCAAGGCAGCAGGGCCAGAGGGAACAGUUAGAGUAAUGUAAUGGGGCUUCCUGCAAAACACAGCUACAGACUUUCAAAUCAUGUUCUUCAGUUUACCUAACUAAUGUUUUCUCCAGCUCUGGUUUUUAAUUAAUGAUAAUAUCAUUAAUCACGUAAUUAUAGCCUCAUCCCGUUGUCUUAUAAGACUUGGGUGACUAAUAAGGACGGGGUAACACUUCGGUUUAUUCUGUUGUGUUUUAUUGACUAAUUUAAUGUAGUGGCAAAGAAGCAAGCAUGCUGGGGACAGAAUCCCCAAAACAUAAAACUUUGCUGGCAAUAUGCAACAUUUAGCUUUUUCUAGAGAGCUGGA
Long non-coding RNA from Cygnus olor (mute swan), 3243 nucleotides. RefSeq lists it as uncharacterized. NCBI's taxonomy places the organism in Eukaryota, Metazoa, Chordata, Aves, Anseriformes, Anatidae. The record is from RefSeq and is a predicted model, not a curated record. The transcript is spliced from 4 exons.